This 29-nucleotide non-coding RNA is filed under the name Cricetulus griseus (Chinese hamster). Lineage: Eukaryota; Metazoa; Chordata; Mammalia; Rodentia; Cricetidae. The record is from RNAcentral.
UGCUGUUGGAUUCAAUAAAUUUGUUUACC